UCUCCAGUUCGGGCCUAAGGAGGAAUCACAUUUCUCCGUGCUUCUGCUUCCGAGGACAAUAUUAGGUAAACUGAGAGGCAGAAAGAGAAUUCCAGAGUCGGGCAGAGUUACGGAUAGAAGAGCUUCAAGUUCUCAGGCUGGAAGCGACCUUCACAGACUAUCUUAUCCCUAAUCGGACUGCCAGGUGGGGCCACGUAGAAUGCAGCCGCGUGUUUUCCUUAGGUCUGCCGUGUUCUCCUCCGAAGUGUUCUCGUUGAGAAGGUAAACUUGCUUAAAUACCUUUCCUUUUUUUUUUCUUUUUUCUUUUUUUCCCUUCUUUUGUCUUUUCAGGGCUGCACCUGCAAUAUAUGGAAGUUCCCAAGCCACGGGUUGAAUGAGAGCUGCAGCUGCCAGCCUACAUCACAGCCACAGCAACACCAGAUCUGAGCUGCAUCUGCGACUUACACCUGAGCUUGCGGCAACACCGAAUCCUUAACCCACUGAACAAGGCCAGGGAUUGAACUCCCAUCCCUGUGGAUACCAGUUGGGUUCUUCACCCACUGAGCCACAAUGGGAACUCCUCAAAUAUUUUUCAAUGAAUGGUUUUACUUUUUCUUGGAGUUAAUAUUUGCUAUUCUUGAAAUAAUGGACAUUAAUACUAUUAUAAUUACUUUCAACAAAACAAACCAAACAGGGUGACCCAGAGCAAGACUUGAGGGCCUCUUGGACAAAGCUUCCUCACCCUGGCACGCUGGCCCCACCAUCCCCUCCCUCCAGAGUAUGGCUCCAAUAUAUCUUUUUCAUUGAUAGGGUCUGCUAUAGCCCCGCCAAUUUCCUAUAAUUCAGAUAAAAAAGGAAACAGUAUAAAACCCAAUAUUUGUUUAAUAUUGUUUAGCUCAUAGAAUGUAAGUUUUUCAAUAUACGUCUCCUUUAACCACAGCAAAAGCCUUAAGCUUUGGGCAGUAUUUGCUUUCAUUUAUUUUUUAAUACAUAAAGUGGCGGUAGAGGAGCUGCAGCUUUGCUCAGCAUCAUAAAGCUAAUAUGUGAGGAAGCCAGAAUUUUGAUAUUGAAUUUUGUGCUCACCUUACAGUAAUCUGUUACCCCUAAGCUGUGUACCCAUUCAUCCCUGGGGACGGUCUGAGUUGAAUCUCUUGGUUUUGAUAUCAGACUCCCUUCUCCAGGAAGGCCCAUCUUCUUCCCUCUCCUUCCAUCUCUUAAAAUUCCAUCUAUCUUUCAAGGUUUGGAUGUAAAUUUCUUCUUAAUCCCUUUGAGGCUUAUAUGCUCUCUCUGUCUUUGUCUCUCUCUCGCUCCUGAAACAGCAGAGGGUGUCCUGUGCCUUGCAGGGCACUCAUCAUUUUCUACCUUGUGUUGUGUUAUUCGACGUACGCUUAUCUUACUGGCAGAGCCUAUGUCUCACUCAUUUUUCUUUUUCUUUUUUGCUUUUUCAGGCUGCACUUAUGGCAUAUGAAAGUUCCUGGACUAAGGGUUGAAUCAGAGUUACAGCUGCUGGCCUAUACCACAGCCACAGCAACAUGGGAUCUGAGCUGCGUCUGCAACCUACACCACAGCUCACUACAACGCAGGAUCCUUAACCUACUGAGCAAGGCCAGGGAUUGAACCCAAGUCCUCAUGGAUACUGGUCGGAUUCGCUUCUGCUUCAUCACAACAGAACUCCCUCACUUAUCUUUCUUGUAUCUUCCAAGUUGCAAGCACACUAGCACAUAGUAGGUGCUGUGAUUAAUGGAUGUUUGGGGAAUGGCAUGGACCCUUGCUUAAUAUAAUCCCAAGACCGGCCUUCUCUCUGAAAGGGUUCUUUCUUUAUAAUAGAAACUUCCUAUGGGAAGUGGAAACCACUUUUCUAAUAAGUAGACAGAUUCAUGUGAAGGGUAGAAAUAAAAUAACACUGCUAAUAGUCAUAAUCAGUGACAUCAUAAUAGUGGUAAUCUUAUAACCUUGAAUUAUAAGGUUCUUCCCUUUCAGAUUAUAAUAAUUCUUACCAGUCUCCCUUAUUUUCCCAACACGUCUGUAAGCCAAGGAAAGGGUUGUCAGUGCAGUAUUCACAAUGGAAAUUAAGAAUGGGAACUUUGGACUCCCAGCUGUGUUUGAGGGCCAGCUUCUCCGCUUAUUUGAACAGGUUAUUUAGCCGCCCGAGAGCUCAGGUCACCUCUCUACCCUUUACAAAAUAGAGAUAAUAAAAUGACAACAUUUGCAGGCUCCUUGUAAGAACAACUGCAGUUCAGUGGGCAGCGUUCUUGGCACAGCCUCCGUGCAUAGUAAGCACUCAUUCAGUGCUAUCAGUAAUUAUUGUUAUGAGGGAGACCUAAGACCCAAGAUGAUUCAGGGACUUGCUCAAGAUGGUGUAAUGACAUGUAAUGAGAAUUUGAGUGUUUGCUUCCUGGGUUACGUUAUCAUCUCCCACUGCCCCUUAACGGUGCUCCAUCCGCCGUAGCCCUGUGUAAUAGAGUUUUGCUGGCUUUGGUCCUUAAUUCCUGGGAGGUAGCCUCUAUAUCUUUGGCAUUUCCCAAGUAAUGGGAGUGUCUUUGUUAUUCAUGGUGGACCUUCAUAGGUUAUGUUUACUAGGUAGUUUAUGCUGGGGAAAUGGGUUAUAUGCUAAUAGUAUAUGCUAAGUUAUAGGUUAUGAAUUAUGCUAAGGAAAAAAAUUUAGUCUGGGAGCUGACAGCGGUGGAAAGAGCAACCAUAAACCAUGUGAUUAGCGGAUUGGGACUUUGAGCCACCAUGACGUCAGACUCACCCCAGGAAGGGAGCGGGGCGGGGGUGGAGAUUGAGUCACGUGAUCAGUGACUUAAUGGUGCCCAUGCAAUGAAACCCAAACACAGACUAGGGACAGGCUGCUCAGGUGGUCUUCCUCGGUGGGCAGUACUCACAUACCCAUGUGUCUGGAGGGGCAUGUCCUGAACCCACAGGGAGAGGACAAAGGUAGCUUUGCAUCUGCAACCCUCCCAGACGUUGCAGUCUGGGUCUCCCUCUGGCUGGUUCUGAUUUUUAUCCUUUUGCUAUGAUACAAUGGUGAUCAUUAGAAUAGUCCUUUUUGAGUUCUGUGUAUCAUUCUAGCCUAUUGUUGAACCUGAGGGGAAACCCUGAAUUUGUAGCCAGUUGGUCAGACGUGAGGGAGGCCCGGGGAUCUUGGAAUUUGUGGCCGUUGUCCAAAGUGAGGGCCAUCGGGGUUGGAGGACUUUGUCUUUGUCCUGUGAAGUUUGCCCUGGCUCCGCUCAGGGUAGCUGGUGUCAGGAAUUUUGCUGUCCCUUCAUCCAGAACCUCAACACGUUUCAGUGUUUUAUAAGGUACACACAUUGCCAUCUCAGACGCAAAAUUGAGAACUGUUUAAAAUCUAAAUUUUUAUUUCUUGUUUAUUUUCAAUGCAUGAUUUUUUUUUUUUUUCUCUUUUUCCACCACCCCUGGGGCAUAUGGAAGUUCCCGGGCCAGGGAUCAGAUUUGAGCUGGAGCUGCAACCUAUGCGACAGCUACAGCAAGGCUGGAUCCUCAACCCACUGGUCCAGCCAAGGUUUGAACCUGGGCCUCCACAGAGACAAGCCAGGCCAUUAACCUACGGAACCAUAGCGGGAAUUCCCUCAAUGCGUAUAUUGACAUGUGACCCCGUUGGCCCUGUACAGUUGAGCAUUUAGAUAACGAUUGUAUUGACAUUACAAAAAAAAAAAAAACUGAAAAAUUAUUUAUAUCUAUGAUGCACGCUUUUCUUUCCAAAAACACUUCUCCAGCCUCCAAACAAAUUAAUUCAUCUGCACAGCGAGAGGAGGAAACCAAGCAGAGGCCUCCACCGUGAGGGACACGGAAGGGACCUCUGCCCGGACAGCCGGAGUGGCUUUCCACACCCUGCUGGAAUACCUCUCUUGCCAACAAUAUGGCAAUUAUCAUUAGCACCCUGCCGCAACUCAGGGCUUCAAACCCACCCAAAUCUAUUUGCAGCGUUUCACAACUUACACAUAGCAUCUCUCGUCUCUAGGUAGCUGCCCCCUGUCUGCGCCACUGGCCCUAAUGUAUUUAGAUAGAUUCUUCUUCCGUGAGGCAGAGCCCACGUCCAUUAGAUUCAUGCGUGUCUGCUUCAAAACCUCCCUUCAUCUCCCGGGUACUCUUUGGGCCUUUCCAGUUGUGUUCACUAACCUUGGACGUGGGUAUUGAGGAGCGAUGCUAAUGUGCUCAAAUUGCUUCGCAGCCUUUUCUCCUGGCUUGUGCCGGCAGGCAAAGGCAAGAAAGACCAAUUAAGCCCGAGAGCCAUUUUGCAAAUGCUCUUUCUCUUAAAGCAGGGAGCGUCUGACGGCGAACCCAAGUGGAAAAGAGGCCGGAUCGCCCUGUGGAUGUGUCAGGCAUAUGUUGACGCUUUUCUUUCUGAGGAUCUAAUCUUUUAGAGUGGGCAUUAGGUGAUGCUUUCAAUGUAGUAUU
Molecule: long non-coding RNA, 4398 nt
Filed under: Sus scrofa (pig)
Lineage: Eukaryota; Metazoa; Chordata; Mammalia; Artiodactyla; Suidae
Description: lncRNA (ENSSSCG00050053434.1)
Source: RNAcentral